UGUAAGCGUAUACCAAAGUUGUUGCAGUUAAAACGCUCGUAGUCGGAAUUUGGCAGUUCCGGAUGUGUGCACGUCGUGUGCGCACUUCGCGGGGAUUGCUUUUGUGGUCUUGCGUAGGAUGAGGCACUUUUAUUAGUGAACGUCCUCACGCAACCACUUUUUACUGCGAGAAAAUCAGAGUGCUCAAAGCAGGCAUUUGCCGUGAAUGUAUUAGCAUGGAAUAAUAGAAUAGGACUUGGUUCUAUUUUGUUGGUUUGUUGGGACUGAGUAAUGAUUAAGAGGGACAGUUGGGGGCAUUUGUAUUUCGGUGCUAGAGGUGAAAUUCUUAGAUUACCGAAAGACAAACUGCCGCGAAAGCGUCUGCCAAGGAUGUUUUCAUUGA
RNAcentral lists this ribosomal RNA (382 nucleotides) under uncultured eukaryote. RNAcentral's name for it is "partial 18S ribosomal RNA". It matches the Rfam family "Eukaryotic small subunit ribosomal RNA", at positions 592 to 976 of the family's 1831-position model. The record is from RNAcentral.